AUCUGCCAAAAAAGCUGUUUAAAAGAAGAAAACUGUUUGGUAGGUAAAUAAACAGAAUUCACAUUUUUAUACCAAAAUUUGAGCCGUCACUCACCGUACACCAUCAUCAUUUUUGUAUAAGUAGAUGUUCUUUGGACAACUGAAUGACCAUGAACCUAAAAGUAUUUCAUGUAUUUAAUUGCAAACAUUGUUUUGUCUUUGUUGCUGUUGUGUCAUUUUUCCUUUCACAUAUUUUCCUAUAAAAGGAACGCGGUGGUGAUGUCAGGAGGAUUGGUUAUCCACAGGAACUCCACACACUUGACCAUCAGUUGAUCAAAAGGAAGAAGAGGUUCAAUGAACGCAAAGGUGUCCCAAAGACUCACUGGAUUUAUCUGUACAGUGAACUUGAGAUGACCACCAACACUGGCAUACACAUUCACAGUGUGUAUCAGUGUUGUUGUAGUGUGAAGAUGUGGUUCAAGGGUCAAUAUUUACCAAUAAACUUAAUAAGUUUUAAUGAAAGAAUCAUGUUGUCAUAAAACCUUGAGCCAGAGAUAUUUGUAAGGAGAAAGGAUUUCUUCAUGUUUUGAGGAAGUGCUGAAGACUGAAGUGACACAACUUCAACUUUAUGAAUGACACUGAUUGAUUUUAUUAUUUUGAUAUGAUGUUGCAUUUAUUAAUGAUGGCUGCUGCUCCUGUCUCUUCCAUCAGGUGAAGAAUGCUGCUCAUGCUCGUCCGGCAGGUCCUGCUUCUCCGGUCGCUUCUCCAGCCGCUCCUGCUCCUCCUUCAGUUCCUGUUGCUCCUGCAUGAACAGGAAAAACGCGUGGGAGCAGCGCCCUCUCGCAUAUGCGCGAAAGGGCGCUGCUCCCACAUAAAAUCCGGGCGCACGAGAUUACCCACUCUGAGCCCUUCCUGCACGCGUGCAAGAGCGCGCCACGCCCACGCCACCACGCAAUCCAGUCCACCUCUCAAACACGCACCAGAUUACACCACUCCGAGCUCCUCGUGCACGCGCGAGAGAGUGCGCCACAACCAGCCACCACUCAAUCCGGGCCACCUCUCACACGCGCACUGAGGAAAGGUCCAUAACCUGGUCGGGAGGGGGAUUCAGGAGGUUCAACGCUGGAACGUUGAACCUCACACUCUGAGCUACUCCUGCACGCGCGCAAGAGGGUGCCACACCCAGCCCACCACUCAAUCCGGGCCACCUCUUGCACGCGCACAAGAUUACGCCACUCGGAGCUCGUCCAGCAAAUGGGCGAGAGGGGGCCACACCCAGCCCACUCCUCAAUCCGGGCCACCUCUCACAAACCCACCGAGGAACGAUCCAUAACCUGGUCCGGGAGGGGGGGAGGAGGUUCAACGUUCCAGCGUUGAACCUCACACUCCGAGCUCCUCCUGCACGCGCGCAAGAGAGUGCCACAAUGGCCCAUCUCUCGCACACGCAACAAGAUUACGCCACUCCGAGCCCCUCCUACACGCGCGCGAGAGGGGGCCACACCCAGCCCACCACUCAAUCCGGGCCACCUCUCGCACGCGCAUCAGAUUACACCACUCCGAGCUGCUCCUGCACGCGCACAGGAUUACACCACUCCCACGCCACAAAAACACUCCGGUCCCCUCCACACUGAGUUUAGAAAAGUUUAACAUUAACGUGGACACUGCAUGUCCCCUUAAUAUUUCCACUUUAGCAAAUGUCACUUGCUGAGCGGUCCUUACUGCACUCUUCAAAAGGUUUCAAUCUAUUAAUAAUAUGACAACAUUCAUUUGAACAAAUGACAUUCUAAUUAAAAUAAUCGACCUGGUUUAUGGCACAAAUCUCACUUUUUUUUUAUGAAAUAAAAUUUAAACACACACACACACACACACACACAUACACGCACACACACACACACGCACGCACGCAUAGUUUCUGUAGCCAAACAACAAAAGAUAAAAUAUCCUAAGAAACAUUUUCAUUCCUCUUUGUUAGAUUUUAGCAGUUACUCAGAGUCUAGCAGUAGGCAGGAAAAUGAAAACAAACGUGGUUUGUGUAAGAACAGGCUGUAAGAUAGUACUUGCUUUGUCAUAUCACACUAAAUGGAUUACAGAAUGUGAGCACCCAUGUACAAAUGCCUCUAUCUACUAAGCCAAACUUAUUUACUUCAGUAAAAUUAUUAAUAAUCCAGUAAGAUAAUACACGCAGCAAAGACUUGCUGAAGUAGUAUAUAUACUAGUAUAUAUACUACUUCAGCAAGUUGUCUUUUGUAACCGUUGUGUAAAAACCUGUACAAGUCUCUACUGUGUUUAGAAAAGUUUAACAUUGACGUGGACACUACAUGUCCCCUUAAAAUUUCCACUUUAGCAAAUGUCACUUGCCAAGCGGUCCUUACCUUAGGGAAUAAUCUUUUUUCCUUUCUUUCCUCUCCUCUCUUUUCUCCUCUGUAAUCCACAGCAAAGUGUAUGUAAAUCCUGCAAGCACUUUUCAAAAUGUUUCAUUCUAUUAAUGUUGCGAUGACAACAUUCAUUUGAACAAAAACCAUUCUAAAGGCGUCUGACACAUUUGCUAAGCUCCACCCCCGGUUGAUGUUGAGAAGAAAUAAUCAACCUGGUUUCUAGAUUUCAAAAUGUCAUGUUUUUGUCAUCUAAAGCUAAAGCCUACUAUUGUCACA
This 2630-nucleotide long non-coding RNA is filed under the name Oreochromis niloticus (Nile tilapia). Its description in RNAcentral is "lncRNA (ENSONIG00000042512.1)". The record is from RNAcentral. Lineage: Eukaryota; Metazoa; Chordata; Actinopteri; Cichliformes; Cichlidae.